AUACUCCUGACUGACCGAUAGUGAACCAGUACCGUGAGGGAAAGGCGAAAAGAACCCCGGCGAGGGGAGUGAAAAAGAACCUGAAACCGUGUACGUACAAGCAGUGGGAGCCCCACCACUAAGCCAGUGGUGAACUCCACAUCCGCAUCCUUUGCUGAGGAUACGGUUAACGGAGCGAAAGCGACGUUCAACCGCAAAACAAGCAGAGGGGGCUUAGUGGUGGGGUGACUGCGUACCUUUUGUAUAAUGGGUCAGCGACUUAUAUUCUGUAGCAAGGUUAACCGAAUAGGGGAGCCGGAGGGAAACCGAGUCUUAAUUGGGCGUUAAGUUGCAGGGUAUAGACCCGAAACCCGGUGAUCUAGCCAUGGGCAGGUUGAAGGUUGGGUAACACUAACU
This 396-nucleotide ribosomal RNA is filed under the name Salmonella enterica. Its description in RNAcentral is "partial 23S ribosomal RNA". It matches the Rfam family "Bacterial large subunit ribosomal RNA", at positions 470 to 767 of the family's 2925-position model. The record is from RNAcentral. Lineage: Bacteria; Pseudomonadati; Pseudomonadota; Gammaproteobacteria; Enterobacterales; Enterobacteriaceae. RNAcentral also lists the same sequence under 1 other name.